RNAcentral lists this long non-coding RNA (1009 nucleotides) under Mus musculus (house mouse). Its description in RNAcentral is "RIKEN cDNA 4933405D12 gene". Lineage: Eukaryota; Metazoa; Chordata; Mammalia; Rodentia; Muridae. The record is from RNAcentral.
CUGGUGGGGUGUCCCCUUGCGGUGUUCAGAGGUGGUUUCUAAGGUGCAGGUCAAACUGUGUGAGGGUGGAAGACGUGGCUCUGUGGAAGCCAGCAUCAAGCCUCUCCUGGGAAAGUGGAGAUUCUUAGUUUUUAUCUUAAACUACGCCCUGCCUACAGCAGGGAGGGGGAGAGGAAGCGGGUGUGUGUGAACCAGUGCUACAGUGAAGGGGCCAACAGAGACAUGGGUAAGUUACAUAGGAACACAUGUUUCUCAAGUCUAAACACUCCGUUCUAUAAGAUUGGCAUGAUUUACGAUAUUCAUUAUGAUUAAGUAGGGAUGAUUACAAAUCUGUUUCCACACCUGGCUUUAUGCAAUUCUGGGAAAUGAUGCCAACACCUCCUAAAUGUUAGGCAGAGUUCCUAGCAAGUGUGACGCCACUCUAGCCUUCCCUACUAAACGCUGAAGGAAAGAUAUAUGCCAGGCUUUCCCAAGCUCUCCUUUAAAAAAAUAGAAGUGAGGGAACACUUCUUGUCUCAUUCCGUCAGACAAAUUAACAAAGCUAGAUAAUAUCACAAGGAAAGCACAGGUGCUUGGACAGCCAUGUUUAAUUUAAUAGCAGCUUUGUUCACAACAAUACAGUGUCCACCAAUAGAUGAUCAAACUGUGUAACAAUAUUAAUAUACAGUGGAAACCAGCCUGGAAGGAUAUUCUGUUGCAAUACAGCUUGAAUGAACACUAGUGAUACUAUGCCAAGUAAUAUAAGCCAGUAUCAAGAGAAAUACUGUAUAAUCUCAUUUAUAUAAAGUAUCUAAAUGAGUCACUUCACAAACAGUAAAGAUAAUCAUGGGGCCUGCUUGAAAGGGGAAUCUUGUGUAAUGGGUUUAGAAUCACAGUUGUGCAAGAUGAAAAUGUACUGGAGAUACUCAUAGUGAGUAUAUUAGAUACUACUAAAGUGUACUUUUGGAAACAGUAUAAACAUAUUUAUUGUGUGCUUCUACCACACUGAAAUAAACAUUAUCCAAUCUUA